RNAcentral lists this transfer RNA (64 nucleotides) under Ceratophora aspera. RNAcentral's name for it is "tRNA-Tyr". Lineage: Eukaryota; Metazoa; Chordata; Lepidosauria; Squamata; Agamidae. The record is from RNAcentral.
CGGCCAGAGGGGGUUGAGCCCCAUAAAUGAGUUUACAAUUCACCACCUAUUCAGCCACCUGACC